This is a non-coding RNA of Camellia sinensis, 332 nucleotides long. The record is from RefSeq and is a predicted model, not a curated record. NCBI's taxonomy places the organism in Eukaryota, Viridiplantae, Streptophyta, Magnoliopsida, Ericales, Theaceae.
AUGGAAACUUGUUUGUAUUUAGGCAAAAAGUUCGUGGAUUAGGAGCUGCAAUUAAUGAUGUGUUGAAUUUAGCGGAUUUGAAAAAAGUUCGAUGGUACGUGUUGAAUAAUUGUGAUGAAGUUCGACCAUAUAUGCUGCAAUACAUGGAUGAACUUGAAGGACAAGGUUUGACAAAUAUGCAAGAGAGGCUAGAAUCAGAGUUCCAUACAUGGCUUCUAAAAUAUGUCACAAAGCUGCAAGUUGAAGGGACAAUGGAUGCUUCCAAUCAACUUAUGAACUUAGCUCGAGGUCCUGAUUACCGAGUGACACGCUACAAUGGUUGUAUCAUCAAC